GACGAACGCUGGCGGCGUGCCUAAUACAUGCAAGUCGAACGCACAGUUUAUACCGUAGCUUGCUACACCAUAGACUGUGAGUUGCGAACGGGUGAGUAACGCGUAGGUAACCUGCCUGGUAUCGGGGGAUAACUAUUGGAAACGAUAGCUAAUACCGCAUAAUAUUGAUUAUUCCAUGAUAAUUGAUUGAUAUGUUCUAUUGCAUCACUACCAGCUGGACCUGCGGUGUAUUAGCUAGUAGGUGAGGUAACGGGUCCACUAGGGGAAGAUACAUAGCCGACCCGGGAGGGUGAUCGGGCAAAAUGGGACAGGAAAAAGGCUCAGGCUCCUACGGGAGGGAGCAGUAGGGAAUCUUCGGCAAUGGAGGAAAGGCUGAACGAGCAACGGCGGGUGAGUGAAGAAGGGUUUCGGAUCGGAAAGCUCUGUUGUAAGGGAAGAAAGGGUGUGAGAGUGGAAAGUUCACACUGUGACGGUAUCUUACCAGAAAGGGACGGCUAACUACGUG
This 505-nucleotide ribosomal RNA is filed under the name uncultured bacterium. RNAcentral describes it as "partial 16S ribosomal RNA". It matches the Rfam family "Bacterial small subunit ribosomal RNA", at positions 28 to 507 of the family's 1533-position model. The record is from RNAcentral.